GCCCUCGUGGCGGAAUUGGCAGACGCGCAGCGUUCAGAACGCUGUCUCGUUUAACGAGGUAGAGGUUCAAAUCCUCUCGAGGGCACCU
This 88-nucleotide transfer RNA is filed under the name Candidatus Woesebacteria bacterium GWB1_37_5. Its description in RNAcentral is "tRNA-Leu". It matches the Rfam family "tRNA". Rfam says of the family: Transfer RNA (tRNA) molecules are approximately 80 nucleotides in length. Their secondary structure includes four short double-helical elements and three loops (D, anti-codon, and T loops). Further hydrogen bonds mediate the characteristic L-shaped molecular structure. tRNAs have two regions of fundamental functional importance: the anti-codon, which is responsible for specific mRNA codon recognition, and the 3' end, to which the tRNAs corresponding amino acid is attached (by aminoacyl-tRNA synthetases). tRNAs cope with the degeneracy of the genetic code in two manners: having more than one tRNA (with a specific anti-codon) for a particular amino acid; and 'wobble' base-pairing, i.e. permitting non-standard base-pairing at the 3rd anti-codon position. Lineage: Bacteria; Candidatus Woeseibacteriota. RNAcentral also lists the same sequence under 3 other names. The record is from RNAcentral.